Oxyura jamaicensis (ruddy duck) is the source of this 791-nucleotide long non-coding RNA. RefSeq lists it as uncharacterized. NCBI's taxonomy places the organism in Eukaryota, Metazoa, Chordata, Aves, Anseriformes, Anatidae. The transcript has 2 exons. The record is from RefSeq and is a predicted model, not a curated record.
ACCAACUGCUAGUUCUGUGUAAGUGUCCUUUCUCAAUAGUCACGAUUUAAAUUUAAUCUUGCAGUUCAUAAUUUGAUUUUCAUUUUCCUCAAAGCUCUACUGAAGGUGUUGUGUUAGACUAUGAUGGCAUCGAUAGGUCACUGAAACAAAAGUCAGUGACCUCUGAAAGUUCUGGGUUUCCUGUGAAAUUAGCUAGGUUGUUUCAGAGCACCUGGAAUUUUACUGUUACUUAAAAAUAAGCAAGCAAAAUCCUUUAACAACUCAAGAAGGAAAAAGCUACUUUGUGUGGGGAGUGAGUCUCUAAAGGUCAGUGGAGGAGUAGGGACGUCCUCUGAAGAGGCUGCCAGCUAGCAUUAAUUUUUGCUGUAUAAAAUCUUCUUGAAGCUGUGUAUGUCCUGAUUCCGUUAAUUGCUAUGGUGAUGCUACAAAAAGCAUUUCAAACUCUCAAACUCUUUUUUGAAAAAGCCCCUUUGAAAAGGCCUUUUAAUGUGACUUCUUCCUAACAUUUUUGGCACUUGUUACUAAUAAGAUUAUUUCUAAUAAAUCUUCCUUCUUUAGUCAAAGUUAGUCCUUAGAUGAUUUUAUUAUUACUAUUAUUAAUAAUCCUCUUGUGUGUGAGUAGUAGCUAGGAUACUACAUUAAUGACAAAAUGUCUGAGGGAUUGCUUGCAGAUCUCAGUGGGAGAAUUAAGGGAUGGACACAUCCUUGAACUGUAUUCCAGGUGGUAGUAAUUGUCACAAUGCAUCAUUGUCUGUGACUGGUGGCUAUUCUGGUACUGACAAAAUUCAAAA